Molecule: ribosomal RNA, 622 nt
Filed under: Trichoderma harzianum
Lineage: Eukaryota; Fungi; Ascomycota; Sordariomycetes; Hypocreales; Hypocreaceae
Description: eukaryotic LSU rRNA
Rfam family: 5.8S ribosomal RNA (bases 233-386)
Source: RNAcentral
UUUCUUAGGGUGACCUGCGGAGGGAUCAUUACCGAGUUUACAACUCCCAAACCCAAUGUGAACGUUACCAAACUGUUGCCUCGGCGGGAUCUCUGCCCCGGGUGCGUCGCAGCCCCGGACCAAGGCGCCCGCCGGAGGACCAACCAAAACUCUUAUUGUAUACCCCCUCGCGGGUUUUUUUAUAAUCUGAGCCUUCUCGGCGCCUCUCGUAGGCGUUUCGAAAAUGAAUCAAAACUUUCAACAACGGAUCUCUUGGUUCUGGCAUCGAUGAAGAACGCAGCGAAAUGCGAUAAGUAAUGUGAAUUGCAGAAUUCAGUGAAUCAUCGAAUCUUUGAACGCACAUUGCGCCCGCCAGUAUUCUGGCGGGCAUGCCUGUCCGAGCGUCAUUUCAACCCUCGAACCCCUCCGGGGGGUCGGCGUUGGGGAUCGGCCCUGCCUUGGCGGUGGCCGUCUCCGAAAUACAGUGGCGGUCUCGCCGCAGCCUCUCCUGCGCAGUAGUUUGCACACUCGCAUCGGGAGCGCGGCGCGUCCACAGCCGUUAAACACCCAACUUCUGAAAUGUUGACCUCGGAUCAGGUAGGAAUACCCGCUGAACUUAAGCAUAUCAAUAAGCCGGGAGGAA